GCGAAGGUGGCGGAAUUGGUAGACGCGCUAGCUUCAGGUGUUAGUGUCUUAACGGACGUGAGGGUUCAAGUCCCUCUCUUCGCACCAAAA
This 90-nucleotide transfer RNA is filed under the name Shimwellia blattae DSM 4481 = NBRC 105725. Its description in RNAcentral is "tRNA-Leu". It matches the Rfam family "tRNA". From Rfam's summary of the family: Transfer RNA (tRNA) molecules are approximately 80 nucleotides in length. Their secondary structure includes four short double-helical elements and three loops (D, anti-codon, and T loops). Further hydrogen bonds mediate the characteristic L-shaped molecular structure. tRNAs have two regions of fundamental functional importance: the anti-codon, which is responsible for specific mRNA codon recognition, and the 3' end, to which the tRNAs corresponding amino acid is attached (by aminoacyl-tRNA synthetases). tRNAs cope with the degeneracy of the genetic code in two manners: having more than one tRNA (with a specific anti-codon) for a particular amino acid; and 'wobble' base-pairing, i.e. permitting non-standard base-pairing at the 3rd anti-codon position. The record is from RNAcentral. Lineage: Bacteria; Pseudomonadati; Pseudomonadota; Gammaproteobacteria; Enterobacterales; Enterobacteriaceae.